RNAcentral lists this ribosomal RNA (75 nucleotides) under Listeria monocytogenes. Its description in RNAcentral is "partial 16S ribosomal RNA". It matches the Rfam family "Bacterial small subunit ribosomal RNA", at positions 1 to 74 of the family's 1533-position model. Lineage: Bacteria; Bacillati; Bacillota; Bacilli; Caryophanales; Listeriaceae. The record is from RNAcentral.
UUUUAAAGAGAGUUUGAUCCUGGCUCAGGACGAACGCUGGCGGCGUGCCUAAUACAUGCAAGUCGAACGAACGGA